This 404-nucleotide ribosomal RNA is filed under the name uncultured bacterium. RNAcentral's name for it is "partial 16S ribosomal RNA". It matches the Rfam family "Bacterial small subunit ribosomal RNA", at positions 338 to 734 of the family's 1533-position model. The record is from RNAcentral.
CCUACGGGAGGCAGCAGUAGGGAAUCUUCCACAAUGGGCGAAAGCCUGAUGGAGCAACGCCGCGUGGGUGAAGAAGGUCUUCGGAUCGUAAAACCCUGUUGUUGGAGAAGAAAGUGCGUGAGCGUAACUGUUCACGUUUCGACGGUAUCUAAACAGAAAGCCACGGCUAACUACGUGCCAGCAGCCGCGGUAAUACGGAGGUGGCAAGCGUUAUCCGGAGUUAUUGGGCGUAAAGGAAACGCAGGCGGUCUUUUAAGUCUGAUGUGAAAGCCUUCGGCUUAACCGGAGUAGUGCAUUGGAAACUGGGAGGCUUGAGUGCAGGAGAGGGGAGUAGAACUCCAGGUGUAGCGGUGAAAUGCGUAGAGAUAUGGAAGAACACCAGUGGCGAAGGCGGCCCCCUGGUC